CAGUCGCCGCGGGAAAACGUAGGGCGCAAGCGUUGUCCGGAAUUAUUGGGCGUAAAGAGCUCGUAGGCGGCCUGUUACGUCUGCUGUGAAAUCCCGGGGCUUAACCCCGGGCGUGCAGUGGAUACGGGCGGGCUAGAGGCAGGCAGGGGAGAACGGAAUUCCCGGUGUAGCGGUGAAAUGCGCAGAUAUCGGGAGGAACACCGGUGGCGAAGGCGGUUCUCUGGGCCUGUUCUGACGCUGAGGAGCGAAAGCGUGGGGAGCAAACAGGAUUAGAUACCCGCGUAGUCCAUGUCUCUUAUAC
Molecule: ribosomal RNA, 301 nt
Filed under: uncultured bacterium
Lineage: Bacteria
Description: partial 16S ribosomal RNA
Rfam family: Bacterial small subunit ribosomal RNA
Source: RNAcentral